This 468-nucleotide ribosomal RNA is filed under the name uncultured Ochrobactrum sp. RNAcentral's name for it is "bacterial SSU rRNA". It matches the Rfam family "Bacterial small subunit ribosomal RNA", at positions 1 to 523 of the family's 1533-position model. The record is from RNAcentral. Lineage: Bacteria; Pseudomonadati; Pseudomonadota; Alphaproteobacteria; Hyphomicrobiales; Brucellaceae.
UAGAGUUUGAUCCUGGCUCAGAACGAACGCUGGCGGCAGGCUUAACACAUGCAAGUCGAGCGCCCCGCAAGGGGAGCGGCAGACGGGUGAGUAACGCGUGGGAAUCUACCUUUUGCUACGGAAUAACUCAGGGAAACUUGUGCUAAUACCGUAUGUGCCCUUCGGGGGAAAGAUUUAUCGGCAAAGGAUGAGCCCGCGUUGGAUUAGCUAGUUGGUGAGGUAAAGGCUCACCAAGGCGACGAUCCAUAGCUGGUCUGAGAGGAUGAUCAGCCACACUGGGACUGAGACACGGCCCAGACUCCUACGGGAGGCAGCAGUGGGGAAUAUUGGACAAUGGGCGCAAGCCUGAUCCAGCCAUGCCGCGUGAGUGAUGAAGGCCCUAGGGUUGUAAAGCUCUUUCACCGGUGAAGAUAAUGACGGUAACCGGAGAAGAAGCCCCGGCUAACCUCGUGCCAGCAGCCGCGGUAA